This 198-nucleotide ribosomal RNA is filed under the name uncultured bacterium. RNAcentral describes it as "partial 16S ribosomal RNA". It matches the Rfam family "Bacterial small subunit ribosomal RNA", at positions 328 to 539 of the family's 1533-position model. The record is from RNAcentral.
ACGCUCGACACCUACGGGGGACAGCAGUGGGGAAUAUUGCACAAUGGGGGAAACCCUGAUGCAGCGACGCCGCGUGGAGGAAGAAGGUCUUCGGAUUGUAAACUCCUGUUGUUGGGGAAAAAGAGGAUGGUACCCAACAAGGAAGUGACGGCUAACUACGUGCCAACAGCCGCGGUAAUCUGAGCGGGCUGGCAAGGC